Non-coding RNA from Pelobates cultripes (western spadefoot toad), 248 nucleotides. The record is from the annotation of a GenBank genome assembly. Lineage: Eukaryota; Metazoa; Chordata; Amphibia; Anura; Pelobatidae.
GAUGGGGUGACUAGUGACAGAGAGAGGGAUGGGGUGACUAGUGACAGAGUUAGGGAGGGAGUGACUAGUGACAGAGAGAGGGAUGGGGUGACUAGUGACAGUCACCCCCCUCACUCUGUCACCAGUCAUCCCCUCACUCUGUCACUAGUCACCCCUUCCCUCCCUCACUUUGCCACUAGUCAUCUCUUCCCUCCUUCACUCUGCCACUAGUCACCCAUUCCCUCACUCUGUCACUAGUCACCCCUAUC